CCUGUUCCAGUUGAAAACACUUGCAGCGGUAAUGGAGAAGGCAAUUCUCGCUGAGAGUGGAGGCGAGGCUGUAACAAAACACAACCAAGAGUAGAUGAAGACGAAGAGUGAAGGUGAAGUUAAAAUGGUGGAGGUAGUAACGGUGGAAACAACAACAACAAUUUGAAGAGGAGGUGGAAUGCAAGUGUGGGAGCUGGAAAUCAGCAAGGAAGCCAGCAAAAGAAGACGUUCGAAGUAUGUGCUACAUGCGAAAAGUUUCACAAGGGUGUGUGCUUGAUGGGGAAACAAGUAUGCUUCAACUGUGGC
RNAcentral lists this long non-coding RNA (306 nucleotides) under Panax ginseng (ginseng). Its description in RNAcentral is "long non-coding RNA (PGIN_LNC004551)". The record is from RNAcentral. Lineage: Eukaryota; Viridiplantae; Streptophyta; Magnoliopsida; Apiales; Araliaceae.